UUGGCUCAGAAGCAGCCAUCCUUUAAAGAGUGCGUAAUAGCUCACUAGUCGAGUGACACUGCGCCGAAGAUGUACCGGGGCUAAGUACAAUACCGAAAUUGCGGAUUUACACAUAAGUGUAAGUGGUAGGGGAGCGUUCCAAGGGCGUUGAAGGUUGACCGUGAGGACAGCUGGAGCGCUUGGAAGUGAGAAUGCCGGUGUGAGUAGCGCAAGAUGGGUGAGAAUCCCAUCCACCGUUUGCCUAAGGUUUCCUGGGCGAGGUUCGUCCUCCCAGGGUUAGUCGGGUCCUAAGACGAGGCCGAGAGGCGUAGCCGAUGGACAACAGGUUGAUAUUCCUGUACUAUCUAUAAGACUGAUGGAGUGACGGAGAAAGAUAGGAAGAGCCAGUUAAUGGAUUCUGGUCUAAGCACAAAGGUUGAUAAAAAGGGAAAUCCGUUUAUCGUUCAACUGAAGUGUGAUGGUGAAGUACCUAGUACGAAAUCUUCUGACUCUAUGCUUCCAAGAAAAGCUUCUAGGGUUAAUCUUAUAGAUACCCGUACCGAGAACCGACACAGGUGGGCAAGGAGAGUAUCCUAAGGUGAGCGAGAGAACUAUGGUUAAGGAACUCGGCAAAAUGACCCCGUAACUUCGGGAUAAGGGGUGGUCAAGCGAUUGACCCGCAGUAAAGAGGCCCAGGCAACUGUUUACCAAAAACACAGGUUUCUGCAAAAGCGCAAGCUGAAGUAUAGGAGCUGACGCCUGCCCAGUGCUGGAAGGUUAAUAGGAGAGCUUAGAUGUGACGAAAGUCGAUAGCAUCGAAGGUUCGAAUUGAAGCCCCAGUGAACGGCGGCCGUAACUAUAACGGUCCUAAGGUAGCGAAAUUCCUUGUCAGGUAAGUUCUGACCCGCACGAAAGGCGUAAUGAUCUGGGUACUGUCUCAACCAUAGACUCGGUGAAAUCUUAUUACCUGUGAAAAUGCAGGUUACCCGCGACUGGACGAGAAGACCCCAUGGAGCUUUACUAUAGCUUGAUAUUGAGGUUUGGUAAGUUAUGUAGAGAAUAGGUGGGAGACUGAGAGAUAUCGGCGCCAGCUGAUAAGGAGUCAGCAAUGGAAUACCACCCUUAACUUAUUGAACUUCUAACCUAGGUCCAUAAUCUGGAUCAGGGACAGUGUCUGGUGGGUAGUUUGACUGGGGCGGUCGCCUCCCAAAAAGUAACGGAGGCGCCCAAAGGUUCCCUCAGAAUGGUUGGAAAUCAUUCGAAGAGCGUAAAGGUAUAAGGGAGCUUAACUGCGAGACCAACAAGUCGAGCAGAUACGAAAGUAGGGCUUAGUGAUCAGACGAUGCAGAAUGGAAUGGUCGUCGCUUAACGGAUAAAAGUUACCCUGGGGAUAACAGGCUGAUACCACCCAAUAGUUCACAUAGACGGUGGUGUUUGGCACCUCGAUGUCGGCUCGUCACAUCCUGGAGGUGAAGUCGCUUCCAAGGGUUGGGCUGUUCGCCCAUUAAAGUGGCACGCGAGCUGGGUUCAGAACGUCGUGAGACAGUUCGGUC
This 1532-nucleotide ribosomal RNA is filed under the name human gut metagenome. RNAcentral describes it as "bacterial LSU rRNA". It matches the Rfam family "Bacterial large subunit ribosomal RNA", at positions 1101 to 2636 of the family's 2925-position model. The record is from RNAcentral.